RNAcentral lists this ribosomal RNA (476 nucleotides) under uncultured bacterium. RNAcentral describes it as "bacterial SSU rRNA". It matches the Rfam family "Bacterial small subunit ribosomal RNA", at positions 335 to 802 of the family's 1533-position model. The record is from RNAcentral.
ACUCCUACGGGAGGCAGCAGUGGGGAAUAUUGCACAAUGGGGGAAACCCUGAUGCAGCCAUGCCGCGUGUGUGAAGAAGGCCUUGGGUUGUAAAGCACUUUCAGUAGGGAGGAAGGUAGUGUAGUUAACACCUGCAUUAUUUGACGUUACCUACAGAAGAAGCACCGGCUAACUCCGUGCCAGCAGCCGCGGUAAUACGGGAGGGUGCGAGCGUUAAUCGGAAUUACGUGGGCGUAAAGCGCAUGCAGGCGGCCUGUUAAGUCAGAUGUGAAAGCCCGGGGUCUUAACCUCGGAAUUGCAUUUGAAACUGGCAGGCUAGAGUCUUGUAGAGGGGGUUAGAAUUUCAGGUGUAGCGGUGAAAUGCGUAGAGAUCUGAAGGAAUACCAGUGGCGAAGGCGGCCCCUGGACAAAGACUGACGCUCAGAUGCGAAAGCGUGGGAGCAAACGAGGAUUAGAUACCCCGUGGUAGACUGUCA